GAACAGACAAGGAGCUUGCUCCUUUGACGUUAGCGGCGGACGGGUGAGUAGCACGUGGGUAACCUACCUAUAAGACUGGGAUAACUUCGGGAAACCGGAGCUAAUACCGGAUAAUAUUUCGAACCGCAUGGUUCGAUAGUGAAAGAUGGUUUUGCUAUCACUUAUAGAUGGACCCGCGCCGUAUUAGCUAGUUGGUAAGGUAACGGCUUACCAAGGCGACGAUACGUAGCCGACCUGAGAGGGUGAUCGGCCACACUGGAACUGAGACACGGUCCAGACUCCUACGGGAGGCAGCAGUAGGGAAUCUUCCGCAAUGGGCGAAAGCCUGACGGAGCAACGCCGCGUGGGUGAUGAAGGUCUUCGGAUCGUAAAACUCUGUUAUUAGGGAAGAACAUACGUGUAAGUAACUAUGCACGUCUUGACGGUACCUAAUCAGAAAGCCACGGCUAACUACGUGCCAGCAGCCGCGGUAAUACGUAGGUGGCAAGCGUUAUCCGGAAUUAUUGGGCGUAAAGCGCGCGUAGGCGGUUUUUUAAGUCUGAUGUGAAAGCCCACGGCUCAACCGUGGAGGGUCAUUGGAAACUGGAAAACUUGAGUGCAGAAGAGGAAAGUGGAAUUCCAUGUGUAGCGGUGAAAUGCGCAGAGAUAUGGAGGAACACCAGUGGCGAAGGCGACUUUCUGGUCUGUAACUGACGCUGAUGUGCGAAAGCGUGGGGAUCAAACAGG
RNAcentral lists this ribosomal RNA (726 nucleotides) under uncultured Staphylococcus sp. RNAcentral describes it as "bacterial SSU rRNA". It matches the Rfam family "Bacterial small subunit ribosomal RNA", at positions 64 to 776 of the family's 1533-position model. Lineage: Bacteria; Bacillati; Bacillota; Bacilli; Caryophanales; Staphylococcaceae. The record is from RNAcentral.